RNAcentral lists this ribosomal RNA (497 nucleotides) under uncultured bacterium. RNAcentral's name for it is "partial 16S ribosomal RNA". It matches the Rfam family "Bacterial small subunit ribosomal RNA", at positions 28 to 507 of the family's 1533-position model. The record is from RNAcentral.
GACGAACGCUGGCGGCGUGCCUAAUACAUGCAAGUUGAGCGAUGAAGAUUGGUGCUUGCACCAAUUUGAAGAGCAGCGAACGGGUGAGUAACGCGUGGGGAAUCUGCCUUUGAGCGGGGGACAACAUUUGGAAACGAAUGCUAAUACCGCAUAACAACUUUAAACAUAAGUUUUAAGUUUGAAAGAUGCAAUUGCAUCACUCAAAGAUGAUCCCGCGUUGUAUUAGCUAGUUGGUGAGGUAAAGGCUCACCAAGGCGAUGAUACAUAGCCGACCUGAGAGGGUGAUCGGCCACAUUGGGACUGAGACACGGCCCAAACUCCUACGGGAGGCAGCAGUAGGGAAUAUUCGGCAAUGGACGAAAGUCUGACCGAGCAACGCCGCGUGAGUGAAGAAGGUUUUCGGAUCGUAAAACUCUGUUGGUAGAGAAGAACGUUGGUGAGAGUGGAAAGCUCAUCAAGUGACGGUAACUACCCAGAAAGGGACGGCUAACUACGUG